RNAcentral lists this non-coding RNA (28 nucleotides) under Cricetulus griseus (Chinese hamster). Lineage: Eukaryota; Metazoa; Chordata; Mammalia; Rodentia; Cricetidae. The record is from RNAcentral.
CAGGGCCCGGCUAGCUCAGUCGGUAGAG